This is an RNA transcript of Camelus dromedarius (Arabian camel), 7681 nucleotides long. RefSeq lists it as uncharacterized. The record is from RefSeq and is a predicted model, not a curated record. Lineage: Eukaryota; Metazoa; Chordata; Mammalia; Artiodactyla; Camelidae. The transcript has 11 exons.
CCAGGGCAGAACCCACUUUUGUAAGAACCCCUGGGGCAGGCAGAUUUAACAGGUCCCUGAGGCCAGCUGGAGGCUCAGCGUGGGGAAGUCCGAGUGUGACAACUCCAGGGGGCCAGUCAGAGGGGCCCCCUGCUCUUUUUCAUGCAUUUUACCUCCAGGACCGUAUCCUGUUCUCAGAGUGAAGAUCAUAGGAAAACUCCUCAUGGUUCCUGCCAGGAAAGGAAAAAAUAGCUCUAUUGAAAUACACCCAGAACAUUCUCUUCCAUUGUGGGGGGUUGUGUUUUGUUUUGUUUUUUUUUUUUUUGAGAAAUUAUUUUACCAGAGCCUAACCUACCUGGGGGAAGGGAAAUACCUUCUGUGUCACCCAAAUUGGGGUGGGGGAAAGAGACAAACUUGUGGAGGUCACAGCUCAGGGCACAGGUUCAAUGAGAAUUAAUCACAGGACUACAGAUGCCCUGCUCUGUCCCGCUCCCCCAACACCUUACCUCCAUGUCAUUAGGGCCCCUGUGUAAUAACAGGAAUAAAAUUAAAAGAAGUAAAUGUCUCAGGAGUGUCUAGGGAAAACCCUAAGACAGCGGGGAGAUGAAAACAAGGACACACGGGUGGCUUUAGCCUCUCGCACGAAUAGCUGUAGCAAACUACACACAGCCCAGCCCCAGUAGAUAAACAGAAAACCUCACAGAAGAAACUAUUUAUUUUGGUUCUCUUACCCAGUGCAUUCCAUGGUGCAUCCUCGCCUAGAAUUGAGUGGAAGCAAGUCCAUCUCAGAAGGGACAUACCUGAAGAGAAAUGGCUUUCCAGACUCUGAAGGGCAGAGAAAGCACCAGCCUGGGUUAGAGAAAGAGAACAGCAUCUCUGAGCCCGUCCUGGGUGACCUCACAGAGAUCACCCUAGUGGCCCAGGCUAGUGACCGGGAACAUGUACCUUCCUGCAGCCAACCCCAGACGUCCACUGAUGCAUCAUAUACUGGCAAAGAUCCUGGCCUGGGAGGGCGUUGGCCGCCGGAGAUUCGCCAGAUGUUGGACUCCAGGGGCGGCUUCUGCUGCCGUAGAGGCGGGACGCCGGUCUCCAGGUGAGCUUGGUCCUGGGAGGCGGCGGCGGCAGCGGCGGCGGCUGGAGUUUGGGGUCCGUUCCAAGCAGCUGCUCGAUUUCUUCUCUCCCCCGCGGCCUGGCCUGGGGGCGACCUCUGCCGCAGGAGAUUUGCCUGAGGUCCGACUCCAGAAGCCGGAUGCCCGUCUUCAGGUCAGCUUGCUCCUGGGAGGCGGGCGCGAUGCUGUCGAGGGGCAGAGGCAGCUGCGACGGCCGGCUGCCCCGCCUAAUGGGGCCACUUCUCCUCUCCCCUGACCUGGCCUGGGGACGGCCUCUCCCGCCCAAGAUUAGCCUGAAGCCCCACACCCGGUCAGGUUCCUCCUGGGAGGUGGGCGCGGUGACAUCAGGGGUUGGAGAGGAGAGGGGUCUGCCCCUGGCGGGCUGCAGGAUAAGCUCCCAUCCCUCUGGAGGCCUGACGUGGGGGUGGCCUCUGCUGCCCCUCAUUCCCGGGUCACCCUUCUCCAGGACAUAUUGCCCCGGGGGUGCUGAAGGUUGCGGGGGCGGCGGGUUGUUGGCGGGGGUAUGGAGCUUGCCGCUUGGGAACUGGUGGUUUAGAUCCCAUUUCCCCGCAGCUUGGCCUGGGGGCAGCCUCUGUUGCCCCAGGUCGCAAAGCACUGUUUCCCUGACAGCUUAACCACCGGAAGUGGGCAGGAUGUGCUGAGGGGGCGGAGGCAGCCGCCAUGGCAGCGACGGAGGGGGCUGUCCCUGGCCAGCUGGUCAAUUUGUUCCCAUCUCAACAUUUGCUGCCCCAGUUUCGCAGGACGCCCUUCUCCAGUUUAUCCUUCUCCUGGGAGGUGACAUUUUAGGUUAUUGGGUCCCAGAUUGCUGGCACACUCAUCCUUGUUCUCAAACAUCUUUUAAACUUGGGUGAAGUGAUAAGUUGGGGAAGAAGAUGAUUUACUGAAAGAGUCUCCCGAGAAGAGAUUCAGACUGAACAGCUUUGUGUCAGACUUUGGAAGACUGCUGGUGCCCAAGGGGUUCUCUGGCAGCACAAUGACGAAUCUAGGUCCCUCUUUCACUGCUACGUCAAUGAAGUGGACCGCUUGGACAAGGCCAAAGCUGGUAUCCGAACCAUAGCCCUUGACAGUGAUGUUCGGCUCCAGGAAGCCAUCAGAUGCAGCAGGUGGCCAGAGGAGGAGCCGAACGGGCUCAUGAAAUGUGACACCCCCAGCUUCAUCAACACGGACCAGAACUCUUCCUUUGGGGAAAUGAUCUGAUUUUGGAACCACCGAUUGUUCUAGAAAAUAAGCCAGUUGCCCAGACCUCACACAAAGACUUGAAUUGGAAAUGUGCUUUGUCAAGUGUUUUUCUGAAGAUAUGAAGUCUGUCUUUUUAUGGCAGGAAUUCCCCUUUCACAAAAUUGUAAGUGUUUGUGUCUGAGAGAGAGAAAUGGAGACAGACAGAAAGAAGGAGACAGAAGAGAGCCCCUCAGAAGAGAGCUAGUUAAGAAUCCUUGAGAGGUCCCUGUCAUCAUUGUCAGUAUCAUCAUCAUCAUCACCAUCAUCAUGGAACUGAUUCCUCUGGGAGAUUCUAGGAAAAUAAAGAGCUGGACGGGGUUAUGUGCAGCAUCCCAGACUGACGAAGACAGUGGAGAAUGCCUCUGAGUUUGGCACUGAUUGCCUGGAGAAUGCUGAAACCCAGGGAAGUGGGCAGCACAGACGUUUACUCAUUUAAUUUUGCCAACACAGUAGGAGAUAGAGUCUACAUAUUCCUCGCUACUUAAAAGGUAAGGAAAAAGAGGCACAAAUAAUAACAACGACAACAAAAACAACAACAAUUUGUCCAAGAUUCACACAGAACCCCCUGGAGGCAGAGUGAGAAUUUAUACUCAGGCAGGCUGGCCCCAGAGCCCCUGCUCAUAACUAAUAAGUCAGAUCACCUUGCUUAUGUGGAUCAGUUUUUUUCAAAUGUGAUAUGAGGGUACUGUGUCCAGUAACUUAUAAUUUCAAAAUACUUCACUGUAACGGAAUCAUUAGUCACAGGCGUUACAAACCACAGAAACCUACACAUACAAAAAUAACUCGUUAGUUCAUGUUAACCAAUAACGUUUUUAAAUAUUAUACCUGCUGGGCCUUUGCAAUAAAAUGUCUUUUUAUAAUUCUGUCUGGCUACAGAAUAACUUCAUAAUCCUGCAUGUUGCUGGUGGCUCCCAUGUUGGACAGCACGGGCCUAGAGAUUUUAAAUUACUUGCCCAGACUCGCCCAGGAAGCUCGUGGUGGGAUCCGAGCUAUAGUCUGGGACUUUUCCUUCCUAUCCAACAAGUCCCUCAUGGAAGUUUAGAAGCUUCUCCUUUGGUGCUCAGCUGUCUAUCCGUACUUAUAACAUCUUGUCAGGUGUUCCAGCCUGCUCCUGAACAUCAGCCAGAACCCACUUCUUCUCUAUUUUGUCCAGAUCCCUGCCUUCUCUCUGCUCCUCCUGUCCAUGUCUCUCCCUCCACUUUUCCCCUUCUCCCCCCCUCCUCCCAUCUUCUCCGUCCCUCGCUUCCCCACCUUCUCUCGCAGAACCCAGAUAGGAUCGCUGGCCCUCCUGCGCAUGCGCAGUCAGUGCCAGCUGGAACGAGGGUUGGAAGCUCCAGCUCCGAGCCUGGGAUCGGCCCCAAAGGCUGCUCAGCUCUUUCGCCCGGUAGGACUUUUGCUUCUGCCCCGGCGCCCCAGCCACAGCUCUCCAGGGCCAGGUGUGCAACUGCCGCCUCUCGCCCCAGCCGGGCUCCCCUCAGUCCGCGGCUGGCGUCCCCUUCCCCUCUCCCGCCUGCGAGUCCUCUCCUCCCGAGCUUCCUCUCCUCGGCCGCUGGCCCGUCCCCGCCCCUGGGAGGGCUGUGUCCCUGGCGGGCGGGGUCUGCAGACCCGGACGGGGGCGGGCGGCUGGGGCUGGGGCUGGCCUCCGAGCGGGGCUACAGCCGGCGUCCCCCCCCUUACCCUGCCCCACGACCCCGAUGCUGCCCUCCUCUCCCUUUCCCGCUCCCUGGGGACCAGCUCAGUGGCGUCUGCGAUGCUCCCCGGGCUGAGAGCCUCCGGCUGUGAACCCCUGCUUCUCCUGGUGGAGUCGGGAAAAGGGAGCGUCAGUGCUGAGCGAGCUUCCGUCUCCUCCCUCAGUGUUUCUGCCCCAGAUGAGCUGGCAGAUGUAGUGGCCUGGACAAAGCUGAGGACACAGAUGCCAGCACCGUGCCACUCCCAGGCUGGCUCCAUUCCCGUCACCUGUCACCUCCUGCUGAGUCCCCAGGCGUCAGUCAAUGUAGGUGCAUUGGUGCAACGUAAGCAGGGACCACCUUCUCCCCCUGGACAGAAUGGUGGGUGAGCAGUGGAAGCCUGGAGCCCUGCCCCAGCCCCCUGGCCAGUGCCUCCUCUUUUGUCACAGGAGGCACUGGUGACAUGUUUGCUCAGCAACUGCUUGGCUCUGAGUCUGCAGACCCACCAGAGAAUACCAGCUUGUUUUUGCCUUUUGAAGUCUGUCCUUGGGAUUUGGCGGAGUAGCUGGUUGUGUGCUUAGCCCAUAGUGGUUGACACUGUGACCAUUGUUUACCCAGAACCUCGUGUACCAGGCAUGGCUCUCGGCAUCAAAAUACAGCAGCGCAUUAAACCUCCCUCCUGGUGGGUCUGUCUGUUUUGGUACCGUAAGGGCUCAGCCAGCAUCUGAACGUCAGUGAGAUAACGCGGCCAGUGAGCUCGGGUCAAGUACGUUCUCUUCCAGUAACUUUUACUCCAUUGUUGCUUUUACUAUUCCACAGUCAUUACUUUUUUAAACAAUGCUUUGGUGCAGGAACAGAGCCUAAUUCUCUCCUGUUACUCUUGGUGGGAGUGAGUAAAAUUGUCCAGCUUGAAAUGCGACCACAUUUUGUAGCUCAAAAGCUGUCUACACGCAUCUAGGUGAAGUUUAGGUUUGGGGCGCUGACGACGUUGGGGUCCCCCGGCAGCGCCACUCGCCUCAGGCCCCUGCCUUCCCUGGAACAAUAGGUGAGGGUGGGUCUCACCGUCCCCUCAUCCCUGUCCUUACCAAACUCAACUAAAUUCUUCUAAUUGCUGUCAGUUAUUUUUGUUCUCAUGUGUUUCUAAUUUUCGCUGUUCCUCUUUUCCUUUUUCUAUUUCCCUUUCUAUCUCGUACCGCCCUGUGAGCAUGUUGUUGUGUCUGAAAAGUGGGCUGUGCACACCCUGCAUUGGAAAUAGCCAGAUUGUCCUCCGUGCUGUCCCCAUCAUUUAAAAAGCAAAAACUUAACAGUUGCCUUGAUCCAUAUAUUAUCCUAGUCAUCUUUUUAUUUUCUAGUAUUUUGGAAUUUUUGCUUUGUUAGCACAUCACCCACUGGUGAUUGAUACCUGUUAAAAUCCUUGCUUUGAGGAACCAGUUUGGUCCUCCUUAUGUUUGGUGACAAAUGCGCCCUUACUAAAUUUGUUUGAUUGUUUUGCAGAAGUGAGAUGCGAAUUGAUUUAGGCGGCUGCUGAGGGAUUUUUUUCAUGGAGGAUUUAAACUUGGAAAGGCAAAAUCUGCAGCAUCUUCCUUAAUUCUGGCUUUUACACAAACGUGCUUGGCACGCGGUUCCGGGCUGUCGCUGUGUGAGGUGCGUGACGGAGCUUCCUGGCCGGCGGUCACUGGUGAGGAAGUGGCAGGCUCGGGGGUGAGCAGCUGCAGAGGAUGCUGUUGGAGGAAGUAGUCACCGGUUUUUUGCUUUUUGUUUUUGCAUUCACUUUCCCCGUGCCAUUUACUUUACUUUGCCUUCAUAGAGAGGCAGGAGCGGGUCUAAAAUCCAUGCCACUCUUAUUUUCCCUUUACGAGGCUGGUUUUUCUGAGUAUCAGAACAACAUGGCCUUCUCCUAAGUAGCUGGCUCACUUGGAUCUGGUGGACACAGGGACCGCUAAAGGGGACCGUACCUUCCUCUCUGCUCCAGCCAGUGGGCAUUCAGAGCCGGGUCUGUGGUUUGCCUCAGCAGCCAUGCAGGCCUCCCUGCACCAGCCUUUACUAUUAACCCAAGUUGGCAGUAAAUAGCUGACUCCGUGUCUGUUGCAGCUGACGUCCACCACUGAUGGCCGUGUCGUUAGUUUGCGGUAGUGAGUCUCCAACACCCCAGUCAGCCGUGAAGUGACCUUGCAUUCUCACCCACACCCUGGUUCAUCUCACCCGGGGGAAGGGUUUGGCCACCACCGUCAUGCUGGCCAUGAGACCUUGUUUCUCCUUUCAUGCUCUGGUCCAAUUGUGGACAUUUCAUCCUUCACUGACUUGGUCUCGCUUGAGACAGGCCAGAAAUUCUGAAAGAGUCCAUCAUAUUCUCGGGGGGAACAGAACAGAAGUAAGAGUCGCAAGUAGGAGUCUAGGCUAUCUGGGUUGGCAAAUGCAGGCUGGGAUCUGUGAAGGCUGGGCUGUGCCCUGAACACAGGCUUUUCCCGUGGCUCCCAAUAGCCCAGGGGUCGGAGUGAGAACAGCCUUGCCUGGGUUUCCCAAUCCUCAUCUGCUCACUGGCAGGUGUGUCUGCUAACUAGGAACUCCCCCAAACCUCGGGCCCUUCAAAGUUCAGACCACAGGAGAACCUUGAGUCCCUUCUCCUGGGCCUCCUUUGUGAGAAUCCAGUGCCUUCUGAGGUGACCAGAGGAAGGAGAUGCCUCCCCCUCCAGGAAGCACUCUUCAGAGGACUGUGAUGCACUGCACCUUGCUGUGAGCUUGUGGGGUUCCAUCCGUGGUCCUUGCAGAACCAGACUUGAGACUGGCUUAGUGAUAGAAAUGACAGGACUGAUUCCAGGGCAGGGCCGGGGGGAGGAACAAGGGAAAUUGAAUGUGACCUCAAACACCUAGGUGGGUUCUGGGUCUGUUACUAAAAUCGGGAGCCUGGGAGGUACCUGCCAGGAAUAGAACUCUAGAGUAAAUGGUGGACAUGAGGCAUUUUUAAGAUUCCAUUUGUCAUCCAAGUUAGGACUUCAAAGAGGCACUCGGGUCUAUGGCCCCGGGGCUCAGGUGAAGGAGCUGGCUAGAGAUACAUGUUGGGAGUCGUCAUUCUUAGCUGGUGUUCACAGCCGUGCAGGUGGAUGAGCUCAUCUCGAGAGGUGCAGACUGAGGCUGAGGCGGGGCAGGGCUGUGCCUGGGUGGGAAGAAAGCCCAGACCAUGCAGCUUUGGUGUGUCAGUCAGUGGCGUUUGGGAUUUUCAGAGCAAUGGCAUUUAUCCUUAAGGGUCUUGGGGGUGGGCAGGGCCACCCAGGAAGAAAUCUGAAGGGAGGGUUGUGGCCACGCAUGCGUGUCUUGGGAUGAUGCAGAGGCUGCAUGGUCCAGGAGGGGAAACUCCUCGGAAGCUGGAGUCGGAGUGGGGAGUGGGGAGAAGGUAGUCACACUCACCUGUGAGGGAGGGACAGAGGACUAGGUAGUCUCCACCUUAGGGGACUCUCUUUCCCACGAACAAAAGGCCAGCAGACAGAAGAUUUGAGGUGAGAAGGGACGGGCGCUGGGAGAGGAGACAAAUUGGAGAAUGGUGGUUGGACAUUUCUGGAAUACUCUCCCUGCAAAAUAGAGUUAAAAAAAAAACCCAGACUCUUAAGAACAUUGAUAGUGACGUUGGAGGAGAUAGUUCUUUUUCUGGCCUCCUAAGGGUAAGGCAUGUAUCCGGGGAUACACAGGAGG